CCUACGGGAGGCAGCAGUGAGGAAUAUUGGUCAAUGGACGAGAGUCUGAACCAGCCAAGUAGCGUGAAGGAUGACUGCCCUAUGGGUUGUAAACUUCUUUUAUAAAGGAAUAAAACGAGGCACGUGUGCCUUUUUGCAUGUACUUUAUGAAUAAGGAUCGGCUAACUCCGUGCCAGCAGCCGCGGUAAUACGGAGGAUCCGAGCGUUAUCCGGAUUUAUUGGGUUUAAAGGGAGCGUAGAUGGGUUGUUAAGUCAGUUGUGAAAGGUUGCGGCUCAACCGUAAAAUUGCAAUUGAUACUGGCAGUCUUGAGUACAGUUGAGGGAGGCGGAAUUCGUGGUGUAGCGGUGAAAUGCUUAGAUAUCACGAAGAACCCCGAUUGCGAAGGCAGCUUACUAAACUGUGACUGACAUUGAUGCUCGAAAGUGUGGGUAUCAAACAGGAUUAGAUACCCGAGUAGUC
Molecule: ribosomal RNA, 460 nt
Filed under: uncultured bacterium
Lineage: Bacteria
Description: partial 16S ribosomal RNA
Rfam family: Bacterial small subunit ribosomal RNA
Source: RNAcentral